UCCGCUGAUCCUUUUACUACUGGAUCGUCGUCCUGCUCCGCCCUCUCCAGCUUGCGCUCUCGCUUUGCUCUUAUCGACCCCCGCUCCAGGCCUCCAGCCGCGCAUCUGCGCUCCGCCCUCAUCGGCUUGCGCUCUCGUUUUGCUCUUGUCGAUCCCCGCUCCAGGCCUACAGCUGCGCAUCUGCGCUCCACCCCAUGGCAACUGCCAACUGGCGUUCCCACCGCCGCGGUGUCAUCACGAACGAAGCUUGAGGAGACAAAUCUUCACCGCUGCGGCGCUGUCCGUGAGGGCGUGAGGCUGUGUGGCUAUGAUUCUGUAUCCGAGGAGGCCAGGACUUCUCUUUCGUUAGGAGAGAAGCUUUUUCUUAGGCUCUUCUUAGGCAAACAUUUUGUCCGUUCUGGACUUCGGGAGCUUUUUUCUUUUUUAUAUUUUUUAAAAAUAAAAAUUUCAAAAAUAUAUGUCCGUUUUGAAAAAUAUUUCAAAAA
This is a long non-coding RNA of Panicum virgatum (switchgrass), 485 nucleotides long. RefSeq lists it as uncharacterized. Lineage: Eukaryota; Viridiplantae; Streptophyta; Magnoliopsida; Poales; Poaceae. The record is from RefSeq and is a predicted model, not a curated record. The transcript has 2 exons.